AACGAACGCUGGCGGCAGGCCUAACACAUGCAAGUCGAACGAGUAAGAGCCGUAGCAAUACGGAGUUCUGCUAGUGGCGCACGGGUGAGUAACGCGUGGGAACGUGCCUUGGAGUUCGGGAUAACAGUUGGAAACGACUGCUAAUACCGAAUAUUCCCUCAGGGGGAAAGAUUUAUCGCUCCAAGAUCGGCCCGCGUAAGAUUAGGUAGUUGGUGGGGUAAUGGCCUACCAAGCCUACGAUCUUUAGCUGGUCUGAGAGGACGACCAGCCACACUGGAACUGAGACACGGUCCAGACUCCUACGGGAGGCAGCAGUGGGGAAUAUUGGACAAUGGGCGAAAGCCUGAUCCAGCCAUGCCGCGUGAAUGAUGAAGGCCUUAGGGUUGUAAAAUCUUUUGCAGGGGAAGAUAAUGACGGUACCCUGCGAAUAAGCUCCGGCUAACUACGUGCCAGCAGCCGCGGUAAU
RNAcentral lists this ribosomal RNA (466 nucleotides) under uncultured bacterium. RNAcentral describes it as "bacterial SSU rRNA". It matches the Rfam family "Bacterial small subunit ribosomal RNA", at positions 29 to 524 of the family's 1533-position model. The record is from RNAcentral.